This 316-nucleotide ribosomal RNA is filed under the name uncultured bacterium. RNAcentral's name for it is "bacterial SSU rRNA". It matches the Rfam family "Bacterial small subunit ribosomal RNA", at positions 28 to 334 of the family's 1533-position model. The record is from RNAcentral.
GACGAACGCUGGCGGCGUGCCUAAUACAUGCAAGUAGAACGCUGAGGACUGGUGCUUGCACUGGUCUAAGGAGUUGCGAACGGGUGAGUAACGCGUAGGUAACCUACCUCAUAGCGGGGGAUAACUAUUGGAAACGAUAGCUAAUACCGCAUGACAAUAGGGUACACAUGUACCCUAUUUAAAAGGGGCAAAUGCUUCACUAUGAGAUGGACCUGCGUUGUAUUAGCUAGUUGGUAAGGUAACGGCUUACCAAGGCGACGAUACAUAGCCGGACUGAGAGGUUGAACGGCCACAUUGGAACUGAGAUACGGUCCAG